ACUUUCUUGGCAGAAAAAGUGCGGUAAAUUUAAGUUUUACAAAUGUGAUUUAUUAUCACAGAAAGUA
This 67-nucleotide transfer RNA is filed under the name Trichophilopterus babakotophilus. RNAcentral describes it as "tRNA-Leu". The record is from RNAcentral. Lineage: Eukaryota; Metazoa; Arthropoda; Insecta; Psocodea; Philopteridae.